RNAcentral lists this small nuclear RNA (96 nucleotides) under Canis lupus familiaris (dog). The record is from RNAcentral. Lineage: Eukaryota; Metazoa; Chordata; Mammalia; Carnivora; Canidae.
GUGUUCGCUUUGGCAGCACAUACACUAAAAUUGGAACGAUACAGAGAAGAUUAGCAUGGCCCCUGCACACAUGUUAACAACAACAAGGAUGUUGUU